Molecule: non-coding RNA, 115 nt
Organism: Triticum aestivum (bread wheat)
Lineage: Eukaryota; Viridiplantae; Streptophyta; Magnoliopsida; Poales; Poaceae
Source: Rfam
UUUCUACUCCCUCCAUUCGGAAUUACUUGUCUCGGAAAUGGAUGUAUCUAGAACUAAAAUACGUCCAGAUACAUCCAUUUUUGCGACAACUAAUCCCGAACGGAGGGAGUAGGUC